Long non-coding RNA from Oncorhynchus keta (chum salmon), 1759 nucleotides. RefSeq lists it as uncharacterized. The transcript has 3 exons. The record is from RefSeq and is a predicted model, not a curated record. NCBI's taxonomy places the organism in Eukaryota, Metazoa, Chordata, Actinopteri, Salmoniformes, Salmonidae.
ACCAAGGUUACCCGUCCCAUCUGACCGCUCUACCAAGGUUACCCGUCCCAUCUGACCGCUCUACCAAGGUUACCCGUCCCAUCUGACCGCUCUACCAAGGUUACCCGUCCCAUCUGACCGCUCUACCAAGGUUACCCGUCCCAUCUGACCGCUCUACCAAGGUUACCUGUCCCAUCUGACCGCUCUACCAAGGUUACCCGUCCCAUCUGACCGCUCUACCAAGGUUACCUGUCCCAUCUGACCGCUCUACCAAGGUUACCUGUCCCAUCUGACCGCUCUACCAAGGUUACCCGUCCCAUCUGACCGCUCUACCAAGGUUACCCGUCCCAUCUGACCGCUCUACCAAGGUUACCUGUCCCAUCUGACCGCUCUACCAAGGUUACCCGUCCCAUCUGACCGCUCUACCAAGGUUACCUGUCCCAUCUGACGCUCUACCAAGGUUACCCGUCCCAUCUGACCGCUCUACCAAGGUUACCCGUCCCAUCUGACCGCUCUACCAAGGUUACCUGUCCCAUCUGACGCUCUACCAAGGUUACCCGUCCCAUCUGACCGCUCUACCAAGGUUACCCGUCCCAUCUGACCGCUCUACCAAGGUUACCUGUCCCAUCUGACCGCUCUACCAAGGUUACCCGUCCCAUCUGACCGCUCUACCAAGGUUACCUGUCCCAUCUGACGCUCUACCAGAAGGUGGCAGUGAUGUGUUGUUGACCUAAUGCUCAUAUCGCCAUGACUACUGCAGGUCGUUCUGUUCCCACUAGAUGGCCAAGUUGCAAAGAUAAUUUAAGAUGUGGGUAAGGCAUCAAGGUUAGUUAGCAGUGUGGUUAAGAUUCAGGUUAGGUUUAAAAAAUAUAUUUUAAGAUGAGAAAUUGUAUUAGGCUUUUGACUUGUCCAGCACUAGAGCAGAAGAGAGAGAAUGGGGAACUCUGACACCCAUAGCAGCUUACACAGCGACUUACCCUGGGAAACUACUCAAACAGGUGGAGGAAUCUUAUGAGAAGGUAUUCUCUGGGCAUGCCUAAACAAAACUCCUUAUUCCACAGUAAUAUAUGUAUGUGAGGGUGUGGUGAAAACCGUUCGCACACAGGAAAAACCAUCCUGGCUACAAACUUGUACAAUAGUAACAAACAACAUUAACUCCAUGUGGAGACUGACUACGUCUUCAACAAUACAUUCUUUAGAACCAAGUGUUCUCAGAAUGUGACCUGGGUUUGAGCCUCCGGUCUGCCGUAGCAGGGAAGGACCAUUUUAUUAUAUAGUAUAUAAUAUUUCUCCUUAAAAAAAAUGUACUUUUUUUUUUUUUUUACCUUUUAUUUAACUAGGCACUUGCCAGUUAAGAACACAUUCUUAUUUUCAAUUACGGCCUAGGAAGAAGUGGGAUAACUGCCUUGUUCAGGGACAGAAUGACAGAUUUUUACCUUGUCAACUCGGGGAUUCGACCUUGCAACCUUCCAGUUACCAGUCCAACACUCUCUCCACUAGGCUACCUGCCGCCCCUACAUGAUGCAUGGUCUUGAUAACGUCAGUAUAUUUUUUUUGCCCAGGUUUUUAUUGAGUGAACCAAAAUCAUGAACUGAUAACAGAAAGAGAACACAGCAUUUUUUUUAAAUCCUGUUUGGACCAUCAGGGAGGACUGUUGUGUGUUUGAUCAAUUCCAGGGACCGUCUGUAAUCUUCACAUGGAUGCUCCCGAGAGCUACUACCUUUUUCACUUCCCUAAGAUAACAUUCAGUUUUAGCCAGGUAGGGAAGGAGAAGGGAGCG